GUUCUCGUGGCCUAGUGGUUAAGGCGAUAGGCACGAAAUCGUUUGGGAUAUUCCCGCGCAGGUUCGAAUCCUGCCGACAACG
This 82-nucleotide transfer RNA is filed under the name Dreissena polymorpha. It matches the Rfam family "tRNA". From Rfam's summary of the family: Transfer RNA (tRNA) molecules are approximately 80 nucleotides in length. Their secondary structure includes four short double-helical elements and three loops (D, anti-codon, and T loops). Further hydrogen bonds mediate the characteristic L-shaped molecular structure. tRNAs have two regions of fundamental functional importance: the anti-codon, which is responsible for specific mRNA codon recognition, and the 3' end, to which the tRNAs corresponding amino acid is attached (by aminoacyl-tRNA synthetases). tRNAs cope with the degeneracy of the genetic code in two manners: having more than one tRNA (with a specific anti-codon) for a particular amino acid; and 'wobble' base-pairing, i.e. permitting non-standard base-pairing at the 3rd anti-codon position. Lineage: Eukaryota; Metazoa; Mollusca; Bivalvia; Myida; Dreissenidae. The record is from Rfam by way of RNAcentral.